This is a long non-coding RNA of Tupaia belangeri chinensis (Chinese tree shrew), 1666 nucleotides long. RefSeq lists it as uncharacterized. Lineage: Eukaryota; Metazoa; Chordata; Mammalia; Scandentia; Tupaiidae. The record is from RefSeq and is a predicted model, not a curated record. The transcript is spliced from 3 exons.
UACUUCAUAAAGUUACUACGAGGAGUAAAUGAAGUUACCCGUAGCGCUCACAACAGCGUCAAAAAGGACACUAUGGCUACUGUUGUUACUGCAGCAUAAACGGGGCCUGUGGACCGUGGUACCGGCAGGUGCGCGCCCUGGCGUCUGUCCUGUAGUGCCCACCGCAGGGCUCUCCCGAGGACCGCCCCCGCUUCCCACCGCCCACCGCAACAACCGCCGGCUGGCUUCUAUUUAGGGGAGAAAAGGGCAUGUGGGAUGUCAACUUCAGUGGUGUUUUAAUUUACCAAGGACUUUUUCUUAAAAAUCUCGUGAUAUAGCGCUCCUUUUGGGGGAAGGAGAGUGAGGUUCAGGCAGUCGGAGUCACCAGUGGAUACAGCCGCCGUUAGUACGCAAGUCCAGACCUUGCUGAGGGAAGAAAUAAAGUUCAAAAAAUAAUGGAAAUGGGGCACAUUUGAUAGCACAUGUGUUUCAAGAGAUUCCUCUCAAAAGCCCAAGAUGCUGGGAUGCAGCACAAAGCUCUCAGGGUACGAACGGCAGCUCCCUCCACGGCACCCACACCUGCGCAAAGCCACAGUCGGAAGAACUGUUUCUACAAAUUAUAUCUAAUCACUUCUCCCAGUCAAAGGAGACAGUGGGCGUCCCAGUGGGCGCUUUCUCCAUGGUGUACCGGCCUGCCCAGUUCCAUGGACACUUCGAGAGUGUCGAGGCUCCGUGGACAAGCGGGAAGGUUGGGCAGAGCCCAGGAGGACAGCAUCAGAGAUUCCUCAUCACAGACAGGCAUUUCAGGCAUCCACACGGCAGCAGUGGGCCAGAUCUCCUGAGUCGGGCACUGGCGAGCCUCAGCCGGGGCUGCUCAGACGGCUGCAGUGCACUGUGCCUUCGGAGAACAGCUGCUCCGUGUUUCUUCCGGUAGAUGGAAUGGAACGAGCCCCGUGGCCCCCAUGUCCUCUUGGAGGGUGGGCGAGAAAACCGGAGACAGCGCACCCAGACGUUUUGGUCCUCGCUGGCCAGAUCCCAUAGGAAGUGGUCUAAUGAUUCGGCACAGUAAAACAUUGAAAAAUAGGGUAGAGGAUCAGAAUGUUGGAGACAAAGGUAGGGGUGGUCUCUCCACUACUGAAAAAGGAAAAUUACUCACUUUUCUCAGUAAGAAAAAAUGCCAAAGUGUUCUUCCAGAAAGACAUUUAGAACUGCACACACACACACACACACACACGCAUCUCUGAGACAGACGCCAAGCUCUGCUCUGAAACCAUGUGAAUUUUUCUCUCAUGAAUUUGUCAGCCGAACUCCAAACCACUUUAUUCUUUCCUCAUUUCUGGUCUCUGUUCAGUAUGUUUUCAGUUAGUGCUUCUUGGCAUAGCUUCCGUCGGAGCUGAGAGGGCCUGUUUCUCACCCCCUUCUCUCUGUCUACCCCUAUUCUUUUUCUUUUCUUUCCUUUUAAAGCAUUUCUUGUGGUGUUUUUUCUUCUGGGCUCUUCAGUGGCUCCGAAAACACUGCCAAGACCCACAUGAACAGGGUCUCUGGAACCCACACUGUCUGCCUGGUCAGACCAUCACACAGCACGUGGGGGCAGGCGCCAAGGAGGGCCCAGAGACCUGUGGGUGCAAGCACCCCGCCACCCGCACAGCUGCGGCUCCCGGAACCAGCUGGGAACAGACACCAAAGC